CGAGAAAGCCCGCAAGGGUGAGUAAAGCGGCGCACGGGUGCGUAACACGUGGGUAAUCUGCCCUAGAGUCCGGAAUAACUCGCCGAAAGGCGCGCUAAUGCCGGAUGAGACCACGGGAGCCUCGGCUCCUGCGGGAAAAGGUGGCCUCUGUAUACAAGCUAUCGCUCUAGGAUGAGCCCGCGGCCCAUCAGCUCGUUGGCGGGGUAAUGGCCCACCAAGGCUACGACGGGUAGCUGGUCUGAGAGGACGAUCAGCCACACUGGAACUGAGACACGGUCCAGACUCCUACGGGAGGCAGCAGUGGGGAAUCUUGCGCAAUGGGCGAAAGCCUGACGCAGCAACGCCGCGUGUGUGAUGAAGGUCUUCGGAUCGUAAAGCACUGUCGCGAGGGACG
Molecule: ribosomal RNA, 394 nt
Filed under: uncultured Anaeromyxobacter sp.
Lineage: Bacteria; Pseudomonadati; Myxococcota; Myxococcia; Myxococcales; Anaeromyxobacteraceae
Description: bacterial SSU rRNA
Rfam family: Bacterial small subunit ribosomal RNA
Source: RNAcentral